Molecule: ribosomal RNA, 446 nt
Filed under: uncultured bacterium
Lineage: Bacteria
Description: partial 16S ribosomal RNA
Rfam family: Bacterial small subunit ribosomal RNA
Source: RNAcentral
UCCAGACUCCUACGGGAGGCAGCAGUGGGGAAUAUUGCACAAUGGGGGAAACCCUGAUGCAGCGACGCCGCGUGAGCGAAGAAGUACCUCGGUAUGUAAAGCUCUCUCAGCAGGGAAGAAGAUGACGGUACCUGACCAAGAAGCUCCGGCUAAAUACGUGCCAGCAGCCGCGGUAAUACGUAUGGAGCAAGCGUUAUCCGGAUUUACUGGGUGUAAAGGGAGCGCAGGCGGCCUUGCAAGUCUGAUGUGAAAGGCCGGGGCCCAACCCCGGGACUGCAUUGGAAACUGCGAGGCUGGAGUGUCGGAGAGGCAGGCGGAAUUCCUAGUGUAGCGGUGAAAUGCGUAGAUAUUAGGAGGAACAUCAGUGGCGAAGGCGACUAUCUGGCACAUAACUGACGCUGGGGAGCGAAAGCGUGGGUAGCAAACAGGAUUAGAUACCCGAGUAU